This is a long non-coding RNA of Eublepharis macularius, 98 nucleotides long. RefSeq lists it as uncharacterized. The record is from RefSeq and is a predicted model, not a curated record. Lineage: Eukaryota; Metazoa; Chordata; Lepidosauria; Squamata; Eublepharidae. The transcript has 2 exons.
CCCAGGACAAGCCUCGACGUUGCGGCAUGGAGCGGCAGAAGAAUGAUAGGAGCCUUCCAGACCUCCUCAGGCUGGCCACUCCACAAACUGGGAGCCAC